UCGGACUGUAGUUGUUGAAGUAGUAGUGGUAGUUGAAGGUGUCAUGGUCAACAAUUUAAUCGGUGGUGUAAAUCCUCCACCUCCUGCUGAUAAUAACGAUGGUGACAAAGUCCUUUCAUCCAGAGAAAUGCUUGGAUUAGCGUAUUCACUUGUGUACCUUGGUAUACACCCAAGAAUAGCCAAGUGACACCGAGGGCGAAUGCACAUUUUUUUACCUCUUAUACAGUAACAAUAUUCACAAUAAGAUGAUGACAUGACUGCGGAUCCUUCAGCGUACAGGGUUGAAUUUAGGUAACAAUCUGUUGGCAAUUAGAUGGAAAAUUGAACGAGAUUAACGUUAAUAGUACUUUGGAAAUGGUUGCGGAGAUUCAUCUUCAUGUUGGUGUUGCUUUUUUGGUGAUUUUUGCUUAACUAACGGUUCAACCCACUAAUCAGAAGGUCGUUGAAUCACAAUAUUUACAUUUCUUUUGUCUGGAAAUUACCAUGAGUGAUUAUCAAGGUGGAAAAAGCUCAAGAAAUUGAUGGUAAAGUUAUUGAUAGUCGAUCAAGAAAAAAAAAGGUUAUGGAUUUUAAAUCUUAAUGAGAUGGGCGAUCCUGAUGAUUGACGGUUUUCUGUUUCCUUCUUCAUCUCUCCUACACCUGAAUAAUUACCUGUUGAUGUCCAUCAGCUCAUUACUAACAAAAAUCUUCUGAUGUUGUUCUUUUCUACAAUUACUAGUUUUUACACAAUUUUUUUCAUGCUUCUGACGGAGAGAGAGAGAGAGUAUUUAACAAGCCAAAUGAUUGAUGGUUAGCAAACUGGGAGGAGAUAAAGUGGUAAUGAUGGAGAUGAAAGGUAUGAUGAUAAUGAAGAUUGGACCAUUUGAAGAAAGCAAAAACCUCCAUAAUAAUAAUAUCUCAUCUCCACUUAACCGCAAAGUUUAUUAAGGAAUCACCACCACCACCAUCAUCAUCAUCAUUCAACAUGAACAGUUAAACAUCAUCUUCAAGCUUUAGAUUACAAAGGUUACUUUUCAUCACCAAAUUGUAAUUUAAGAAUCACCCUGGUUAAUGGUUAGUUUUUCCACCUUUCAACAUACUCUCAAAUCAAAGACCUCUAUGUAACCACCUCUACCUGAUUAGUAGGAACAAUUUAAUUCCGUUAUCAUCUUUCACUUUUCUAAUGGAGAUUCUUGAUUCCUUCAUGGAGUAAUUGUUGGAAAAUAUUAUUACAUUUGAAUAACUUGAUAUAUGAACACAAAAAAAGGGAAUAGACUUGAAAUGUGUUGAACUUCCGUAUGACCUGAUUAACUUGAUCAACAAUCCAUUUUAUUACUGACCACUAACCUUACAGAGAAAACUGUUAAAUUGUUAAUUCUUUUCCUUAUUACUAAUUUUCUAUUUCUCAAUUACAA
Panonychus citri (citrus red mite) is the source of this 1394-nucleotide long non-coding RNA. RefSeq lists it as uncharacterized. The record is from RefSeq and is a predicted model, not a curated record. The transcript has 3 exons. NCBI's taxonomy places the organism in Eukaryota, Metazoa, Arthropoda, Arachnida, Trombidiformes, Tetranychidae.